UACGUAGGGGGCAAGCGUUGUCCGGAUUUAUUGGGCGUAAAGAGCGUGUAGGCGGCUUUGCAAGUCCGUUGUGAAAACUCGAGGCUCAACCUCGAGACGCCGGUGGAAACUGCAAAGCUAGAGUCCGGAAGAGGAGAGUGGAAUUCCUGGUGUAGCGGUGAAAUGCGCAGAUAUCAGGAGGAACACCAAUGGCGAAGGCAGCUCGCUGGGACGGUACUGACGCUGAGACGCGAAAGCGUGGGGAGCAAACAGG
This 253-nucleotide ribosomal RNA is filed under the name uncultured bacterium. RNAcentral describes it as "partial 16S ribosomal RNA". It matches the Rfam family "Bacterial small subunit ribosomal RNA", at positions 524 to 776 of the family's 1533-position model. The record is from RNAcentral.